RNAcentral lists this ribosomal RNA (278 nucleotides) under uncultured soil bacterium. Its description in RNAcentral is "partial 16S ribosomal RNA". It matches the Rfam family "Bacterial small subunit ribosomal RNA", at positions 26 to 285 of the family's 1533-position model. The record is from RNAcentral.
AGAAUCAACGCUGGCGGCGUGCCUCAGACAUGCAAGUCGAACGCGAAAGUCCCCUUCGGGGGGCAAGUAGAGUGGCGCACGGGUGAGUAACACGUAGGUAAUCUACCUUUGGAUGGGGAAUAACAACCGGAAACGGUUGCUAAUACCGCAUAAUGCAGCGGCACCUAAUGGUGACAGUUGUUAAAGCGGGGGGAUCGAAAAGACCUCGCGUCUGAAGAGGAGCCUGCGGCGGAUUAACUAGUUGGUAAGGUAACGGCCUACCAAGGCUACGAUCCGUA